This 218-nucleotide ribosomal RNA is filed under the name uncultured bacterium. Its description in RNAcentral is "partial 16S ribosomal RNA". It matches the Rfam family "Bacterial small subunit ribosomal RNA", at positions 1282 to 1500 of the family's 1533-position model. The record is from RNAcentral.
ACAGUCUCAGUUCGGAUUGAAGGCUGAAAUUCGCCUUCAUGAAGCCGGAAUUGCUAGUAAUGGCAGGUCAGCAUACUGCCGUGAAUACGUUCCCGGGCCUUGUACACACCGCCCGUCACACCAUGAGAGUUGGGGAUACCCGAAGCCUGUGAGCUAACUUUUAGAGGCAGCAGUCGAAGGUAGAAUCAAUGAUUGGGGUGAAGUCGUAACAAGGUAUC